GAAAUGCGAUACGUAAUGUGAAUUGCAGAAUCCCGUGAAUCAUCGAGUCUUUGAACGCAUAUUGCGCUCAAGGCUUCGGCCGCGAGCAUGUCUGGCUCAUUGUCCGUGUUUCCUCGCACGCGAACCCGCGUGCGGUGUUGGCCUCCCAUGCAAGCAUGGUUGGCAGAAGCACUAUGGUCGUCAGACUCUAUUGCGCACUUGAAGUGAAGUUUACGCGCAAGCGUAGCCUCGUGACAAGUGUGUUAAGACUCCGACGUGCCGUUCGUUGUAGGUAUGACACUUGUCAUUUACACGUAUUGGACCUGAGCUCAGGCAAGGUUACCCGCUGAACUUAA
RNAcentral lists this unclassified non-coding RNA (335 nucleotides) under uncultured fungus. RNAcentral's name for it is "sequence contains ITS1". The stretch from base 1 to 105 matches the Rfam family "5.8S ribosomal RNA", at positions 50 to 154 of the family's 154-position model. Lineage: Eukaryota; Fungi. The record is from RNAcentral.